RNAcentral lists this ribosomal RNA (524 nucleotides) under Aureobasidium pullulans. Its description in RNAcentral is "eukaryotic LSU rRNA". It matches the Rfam family "Eukaryotic large subunit ribosomal RNA", at positions 56 to 588 of the family's 3401-position model. Lineage: Eukaryota; Fungi; Ascomycota; Dothideomycetes; Dothideales; Saccotheciaceae. The record is from RNAcentral.
GAAAAGAAACCAACAGGGAUUGCCCUAGUAACGGCGAGUGAAGCGGCAACAGCUCAAAUUUGAAAGCUAGCCUUCGGGUUCGCAUUGUAAUUUGUAGAGGAUGAUUUGGGGAAGCCGCCUGUCUAAGUUCCUUGGAACAGGACGUCAUAGAGGGUGAGAAUCCCGUAUGUGACAGGAAAUGGCACCCUAUGUAAAUCUCCUUCGACGAGUCGAGUUGUUUGGGAAUGCAGCUCUAAAUGGGAGGUAAAUUUCUUCUAAAGCUAAAUAUUGGCGAGAGACCGAUAGCGCACAAGUAGAGUGAUCGAAAGAUGAAAAGCACUUUGGAAAGAGAGUUAAAAAGCACGUGAAAUUGUUGAAAGGGAAGCGCUUGCAAUCAGACUUGUUUAAACUGUUCGGCCGGUCUUCUGACCGGUUUACUCAGUUUGGACAGGCCAGCAUCAGUUUCGGCGGCCGGAUAAAGGCUCUGGGAAUGUGGCCUCCACUUCGGUGGAGGUGUUAUAGCCCAGGGUGUAAUACGGCCAGCC